ACGCGUGGAAAACCUGCCGUAUACUGGGGGAUAACACUUAGAAAUAGGUGCUAAUACCGCAUAAGCGCACAGCUUCGCAUGAAGCGGUGUGAAAAACUCUGGUGGUAUACGAUGGUUCCGCGUCUGAUUAGCUAGUUGGUGGGGUAAUGGCCUACCAAGGCAACGAUCAGUAGCCGGCCUGAGAGGGUGAACGGCCACAUUGGGACUGAGACACGGCCCAAACUCCUACGGGAGGCAGCAG
RNAcentral lists this ribosomal RNA (241 nucleotides) under uncultured bacterium. RNAcentral's name for it is "partial 16S ribosomal RNA". It matches the Rfam family "Bacterial small subunit ribosomal RNA", at positions 113 to 354 of the family's 1533-position model. The record is from RNAcentral.